This 253-nucleotide ribosomal RNA is filed under the name uncultured bacterium. RNAcentral describes it as "partial 16S ribosomal RNA". It matches the Rfam family "Bacterial small subunit ribosomal RNA", at positions 524 to 776 of the family's 1533-position model. The record is from RNAcentral.
UACGUAGGUGGCAAGCGUUGUCCGGAUUUAUUGGGCGUAAAGCGAGCGCAGGCGGUUUCUUAAGUCUGAUGUGAAAGCCCCCGGCUCAACCGGGGAGGGUCAUUGGAAACUGGGAGACUUGAGUGCAGAAGAGGAGAGUGGAAUUCCAUGUGUAGCGGUGAAAUGCGUAGAUAUAUGGAGGAACACCAGUGGCGAAGGCGGCUCUCUGGUCUGUAACUGACGCUGAGGUUCGAAAGCGUGGGGAGCGAACAGG